GAUGAAGAACGCAGCGAAAUGCGAUACGUAAUGUGAAUUGCAGAAUUCAGUGAAUCAUCGAGUCUUUGAACGCACAUUGCGCCCCCUGGUAUUCCGGGGGGCAUGCCUGUCCGAGCGUCAUUGCUGCCCUCAAGCACGGCUUGUGUGUUGGGCCUCCGUCCUCCUCCCGGGGGACGGGCCCGAAAGGCAGCGGCGGCACCGCGUCCGGUCCUCGAGCGUAUGGGGCUUCGUCACCCGCUCUUGUAGGCCCGGUCGGCGCUUGCCGACACAUCAAUCUUUUUUCCAGGUUGACCUCGGAUCAGGUAGGGAUACCCGCUGAACUUAAGCAUAUCAUAAGCGGAGGA
This 344-nucleotide unclassified non-coding RNA is filed under the name soil metagenome. Its description in RNAcentral is "partial contains 5.8S ribosomal RNA, internal transcribed spacer 2, and large subunit ribosomal RNA". The stretch from base 1 to 120 matches the Rfam family "5.8S ribosomal RNA", at positions 35 to 154 of the family's 154-position model. The record is from RNAcentral.